UGGUACCAAGAGCGUCACUGAAACCUGCUGAAGUUUUGAAAUACCUACAACUUAACUACUAAAACCAAGCCACCUGCCCAGUGACUUCUACUUGAGCUGUUCCAGUUCAUCAUCCCUGUAUUACUAUGUUGUUGGAACACCAUAAAUCUACUGAGUCAGAUAAGACAUUCCUCCUGCCCUGAAGAAAUACUCUCUAAAGAAGAUGAGUGAACAUAAAGCAGAACCCCUCAUGAGGUAGUUUAUCUAACCCUCAGCAGUUCCUUGUUGAAAGAGGACUGAGGAAACAUGUCUGAGGAAAAAAAGAGCAGCUUUUGCUUUGUGGUUAGCUGUGAACACGGGGGAAGGAUAGUGACGUACAUUUUAUUGUGGUCAGAGAAACAGCUUGGGCCUGUCCUAUGCAAGAGGAUUUCUGAGUGUUCUCUCAAUAGCCUGGAUGCUUGUCCACGUAAUGACAUGACCAACAGCUGCUUAAUUGAGGCUCCAUUAACUCUUUUUUUCUGCAGGUUACUUGUCUGCCUACUAAUUUCCUGUUGCAACGGAGCCCUUCUUACUGCAGGGCCCAAAGAUCCUUCCAGGCUCCAGUUCUCUAACUCUUUUUGUCCACAGAAGUUUAGCCACUGUUCCUCUCCAUGUUCCUCUCUGGGAACUUGACCCACUUUGUACAAGGCUUUAAAGAAGCUUUCACCGGGUUCUUCAAAGCAAUCAGCAUCCGAAUUGGCAGAGCUUUUCUUGGGUGUUCCUGGCACCCACUAAGCAGUGAGCUGGUAGGCAGUGAGCAAAUAGACUGCUCUCAGAAAACAGCAAGCAGGAGGAGGAAUGCAACCCCACUGAAAGGCUGACAGGACCCUGCUGAUAGAGCCUGAACUCACUCUUCCCUGCACCCUUCUUGCUGCUUCUCCUCCAGUCCCACAGCAGAGCUCUUUGUGCACCUCAUGAAAUUGCAUGUUUAAGCCCUUCCUUAUACAGCUAUCAACAGACGAUAUGAGGCAAAGAGAUGAUGGCACAGAUAAAGUAUCUGCUGUGGAGUCAGGACUUCAGCUGCUACAUCAAGCUAUCCCACUGACCCUGGGUAAGGAGCCCUUUCUGACUUGCAAAAUCAGGAUGUUUGGAGAAUUAAAUCAUCUUCAACAAAGCAUCUUAAUAUCAGUAGAGAGAAGGCUCUGGGGAAGUGUGACUCAUUAGUCGUAAUUUAUCAUAAUUUACAUUAUAUAUAUAAUGAGGAUAGAUUUAUCAUGAGGAUAUUUAUAUCUGUAUUGUAAUUUAUAUUCUUAUAAUCAAAUUUAUCAUACUUUUAUUAUAAUCUAAUAAAAGCUUGAUUUAUAUAAUCCUCAUAGGUGUAAGAUUCUUGCUAGAAAUGUUCUUGUUUCUGGAUGCAGCAGCAAGGAUGUUGAAAUUUGACUGAAUGUAACACUGAACAAGAUGUGAGAAGUAAAUGACAGUUGUAGUGCC
RNAcentral lists this long non-coding RNA (1449 nucleotides) under Strigops habroptila (Kakapo). RNAcentral describes it as "lncRNA (ENSSHBG00005019884.1)". The record is from RNAcentral. Lineage: Eukaryota; Metazoa; Chordata; Aves; Psittaciformes; Psittacidae.